UACAGAGGUCUCAAGCGUUGUUCGGAAUUACUGGGCGUAAAGCGCACGUAGGCGGGUUUGUAAGUCAGGGGUGAAAUCCUGGAGCUCAACUCCAGAACUGCCUUUGAUACUGGGGAUCUCGAGUCCGGGAGAGGUGAGUGGAACUCCGAGUGUAGAGGUGAAAUUCGUAGAUAUUCGGAAGAACACCAGUGGCGAAGGCGGCUCACUGGCCCGGUACUGACGCUGAGGUGCGAAAGCGUGGGGAGCAAACAGG
RNAcentral lists this ribosomal RNA (253 nucleotides) under uncultured bacterium. Its description in RNAcentral is "partial 16S ribosomal RNA". It matches the Rfam family "Bacterial small subunit ribosomal RNA", at positions 524 to 776 of the family's 1533-position model. The record is from RNAcentral.